CGGGGCGUAGCUCAGCCUGGUAGAGUACUUGCUUCGGGAGCAAGGAGUCGCUGGUUCAAAUCCAGUCGCCCCGACCA
RNAcentral lists this transfer RNA (77 nucleotides) under bacterium. RNAcentral's name for it is "tRNA-Pro". It matches the Rfam family "tRNA". Rfam says of the family: Transfer RNA (tRNA) molecules are approximately 80 nucleotides in length. Their secondary structure includes four short double-helical elements and three loops (D, anti-codon, and T loops). The record is from RNAcentral.